This 76-nucleotide transfer RNA is filed under the name Acidobacteriota bacterium. RNAcentral's name for it is "Acidobacteria bacterium (freshwater metagenome) tRNA-Val". It matches the Rfam family "tRNA". From Rfam's summary of the family: Transfer RNA (tRNA) molecules are approximately 80 nucleotides in length. Their secondary structure includes four short double-helical elements and three loops (D, anti-codon, and T loops). RNAcentral also lists the same sequence under 2 other names. The record is from RNAcentral. Lineage: Bacteria; Pseudomonadati; Acidobacteriota.
GGGCGCUUGGCUCAGUUGGUAGAGCACCGCCUUCACACGGCGGGGGUCACUGGUUCGAGUCCAGUAGCGCCCACCA